Molecule: ribosomal RNA, 490 nt
Filed under: uncultured bacterium
Lineage: Bacteria
Description: partial 16S ribosomal RNA
Rfam family: Bacterial small subunit ribosomal RNA
Source: RNAcentral
AUUGAACGCUGGCGGCAGGCCUAACACAUGCAAGUCGAACGGUAACAGGAAGAAGCUUGCUUCUUUGCUGACGAGUGGCGGACGGGUGAGUAAUGUCUGGGAAACUGCCUGAUGGAGGGGGAUAACUACUGGAAACGGUAGCUAAUACCGCAUAAUGUCGCAAGACCAAAGAGGGGGACCUUCGGGCCUCUUGCCAUCGGAUGUGCCCAGAUGGGAUUAGCUAGUAGGUGGGGUAACGGCUCACCUAGGCGACGAUCCCUAGCUGGUCUGAGAGGAUGACCAGCCACACUGGAACUGAGACACGGUCCAGACUCCUACGGGAGGCAGCAGUGGGGAAUAUUGCACAAUGGGCGCAAGCCUGAUGCAGCUAUGCUGCGUGUAUGAAGAAGGCCUUCGGGUUGUAAAGUACUUUCAGCGGGGAGGAAGGGAGUAAAGUUAAUACCUUUGCUCAUUGACGUUACCCGCAGAAGAAGCACCGGCUAACUCCGUG